CAGCCUGCAGGUCUAGAGACAUCCAUCCCUCCAGCUCCCUCCAGUGAAACACAGCCUGCUGAAGAAACUACACCACUAAUGUCCAGUGACUCUCCUGCACCAACCGGGGACCAACGAGAACACACUUCAAGAACAACUACCCCUGAUGUAACUAUGGAUGGUCAUGAUGAUGACCAGAGUCUGGAUGCCCUCGCCUACCGGUCUGGUACUGGACAGCUAGACAUUGAGAUGGGUCCAGUCCAAACACUGCCCAAAGAUCGUAACAGGAUUCUUUAAUAUCGCUGUUAGACCCAAGUUUCCCAUCGACUGUGAUUCACUAUUGAAGGGGAAUGACAUUACAGGAUACAAAGUAACGCAGUUCAAGAAAUUCGGGAUCAACAUGAAAGUGAAUCUGAUGGUUCAAACUCAGAAACUAGAGGAGGAAAUACACCAGUCUGAUUCCUUCCUGAUGCCAGCUUUGACAGGAGAAGAGGCGUGGUGUGUUUAACAUCAUUAUUUGAUCAAUCCUCACAUUAUUCUUCUAAAUGUGGCUCACAGAGCAAAGACAAGCGAGGUGUUAAUAAAUAGUGUGAGGUGUGCUCUGUGAGGCAUCCUGGGAUAUGAUGGGUAGCGUUGGCUUGGGUCCAAGCUCCACCUCUCUUGGGCGACCACCAAGGAAGACAAUAUUUUCUUUAUGAUAUAUUUUUUUACAACGUUACUAACGUUACUAACUAUUUUGCAAACGAUGACACGUACAUAUUUCACCCAUGCAAGUAUCCUUUCUUGUUGUUUUUCUACUAAACUUUUAGUACCGUCACUUUUUUGAAGGCUUUUGACCGUAAUCAUUUAGGGAAUACAAUUUAAAAUAACAGAUGCAAAACCUUUAAUGAAAAUAUCUGCCAAUUUACUGCACUGUAUUUCAAUGAUGAUUUCUUAUUUACAUUUAAUGGAUUUUUAUUUUUUUUAAGUAAUUCCUGUACUUCUUUUUUACUACUUGCCUUGAGUUGUUCAGGAAGCAUUUGGGGUGCUGGGAUUAGCAUUACAUGGCCUUCUUUCAUGUGUCAGUCAAACAUUGUUAGUUACAUACUAUUGUUUGUGAUGAAGUGGAGUUAGAGAGGGCUGGUUGUUGGGGUAUGCUUUUAUGAGAGCACACUAAUAAAGGGUUGAACAUUG
This is a long non-coding RNA of Gadus morhua (Atlantic cod), 1152 nucleotides long. RefSeq lists it as uncharacterized. The transcript has 2 exons. Lineage: Eukaryota; Metazoa; Chordata; Actinopteri; Gadiformes; Gadidae. The record is from RefSeq and is a predicted model, not a curated record.